Molecule: long non-coding RNA, 2238 nt
Organism: Cebus imitator (Panamanian white-faced capuchin)
Lineage: Eukaryota; Metazoa; Chordata; Mammalia; Primates; Cebidae
Exons: 2
Source: RefSeq, a predicted model, not a curated record
GAUUUUCUAACCUUAUUUUCCAUAUUGCCUCUUAAUGUACACAUGGCCUAUAUCUAAGUGCUUAAACAUUAUUAUUGGUGUUGUAUUAGCAUUAAUGGGCCAUUCCCAUUCAGUUUCUAUAAAUGGGAUCUCAUACUACUUCCUUGCCCUGAAUUCAUUCUCUCUCACACACACACAUACGCACAAACACACACACACCACACACACUAGUGAAAACUGCCGCGUCUUUUGCUGAACCCUGGAGAUUACUUUGUCUUUGAGAGUCCAAAGAAAAAGCCAUCAGCCGUCAAGGAUUUUAAUUAUUUAUUUUUCAUCACACAAGCAAUGCGUGACUACGUUCUGAUUGUAAAAAAUUCACACAAUGCAUCUGAAAUGAAAGUCUCCCCAAGUGAAGAAUCUAAAUAGCUCUGGCCCUCACCCACCAGCCCCCAGGUCUGUGGUGGACCAGCGCUGGGAGAUGCCAGUGGACCUGGUAAAGGUUUGGAGAAACACUGAGCUCUUGUUAUACAGGGAAGGCUGGGGAAGCAGGGAUCACCUGUGAAAUGAAAUGGGAGUAGUUAAUGGAACUUAUCCUUUAUGUUUAGGAGUUGUUGACUUUGCCAAAGAUGUGCUCUUCGAUUUUUGCAGUUUUCUUUUAAGGGAGUGAGGAAGAGGAGGCCUGAGCUCCUGUAACUCUUUCUGUGGGAACUCACUCUUUUUUCUAAUGGGCUGCUUAAGACAGCAAACAUCAGGGGCAGACGCCCAGCAUUCUGCUGUAUUUGGCCAUAGCAAGUGGUAAGAUUUUUGUCAAAUCCAUGUCUUUCUCACCAAUAUUCUAAUAGCGGUUAUUUCCUUUAUGACUCAAUAAGCCCCUGUAUAAAUUUGCUAUGGGGCCAAAUGGAGAUGAAUGAAAAGUUUUAGUAAAGAAGGCAGAAAUGUAUUGAAUAAAAGGAAGAUCCAAAUAGAAAAUCUCUUGGAGACCACUGAUUUAGUUCUUCACUUUUCAGAAGAAGACAUGAAAGUCCAGAGAAGUUUGGCCCAAUGCCCCAAAUCACAUAGGCAGAGUUAGGAGCGGAGAGAAAACCAGAAUUCCGGUUUCAGACUCCCAGCCUGGUAUCCUGCCAUUACACCAGCGUUGGAAUACAGCCACCACUGUUAGCUACCUAGAAAACCUGGGCUGGUCUCACCAAUCCUGGGCCCCAGUUUUAUCAUUACUCUAUCUCUCUUAGGGCAGCAUUGCCAAGAGCAUUCAAUUAAAUUGUGACUGUUAAGUACCAUGCAAAUAACCAAGUAAUUUUCAAGUACAAAAAAAUGAACUUCCUUUCAGUUAUUGGAAAGACAAGCAUUCUUCAUUGGUUAGUUGUGUACAGUAGCAUUUCACAAAGCAUCACCUAACUGAAUCAAAGAUUUUGGGAAUCUGGCCCUGGAAGCUUUGCUGUUUUAUUUUGUUUUGGUCUUCUUAACUUUCUUAAAAAUUGGUGUUAUAUGAUCAUAGGACAUUAUUUUAAAUACAUUUAGGUGUGUUAAUGGUGCCGUGGUUAUAUUGGCAGAUGCUAUUCAUUCUGGGGAAGGCAUGCUGAAGUACUUCUGGGUUGUUUAGCGUUAUUAUUUAGGUGUUAUAUAUUAUGACAUCUGUAAUUUACCUUUUAAUGGUUCAGCAAUUACAAACCCAUGCAUGUGUGGGCACGUACAUACACGGCAAAACAUUAACAUUCUUUGAAUCUAGGUAUACUACAUGUGUGGGUGUCAAAUAUACUAUUGUUCUAUUUUUCCAUAUGUUUGAAACUUUUUAUAAUAAAGUGCCCUGUAAAAUAAAUUCUUCCGGUGAUUUUGAUUCUCCCUAAUGCUUUGAGAACCACUGAUGUAGAGCUAUAGAACUAUGACCAGUGACAAUCUGUGAAUGGUCUCUCCACAUGACUGAUUAUGGCAUGGAAUUGUCUGUGCUCCUGGUUCCAGUUUAAGAGGAAAAUAAAAGAAAAUCUUUUAAAUCUCAUCCUUGAUAUUUCAUCAGAAUUGGAGCCACUUUUCCUGUGUGAUACUGGUAUUUGGUUGAAAGAAAGAGGUUGUUGGAAGAAUGAUUGGAGUCUGGUGUUAGGAAUCCCUUGCUCUUCACAGAGAUCGUCUGCUGCUACCUGGCCGCUUCCAUGAGCUAUAACGUGGGUAAAAACAUCUUCAGUUGGGUGGAAGGUUACCCCUGUCAUUGACUGAUAUGCACAACCUAAUUACUUUCUUAGUUACUUAAAGCUGGCUUAAUUUGUC